GGUCCCAUGGUGUAAUGGUUAGCACUCUGGACUUUGGAUCCAGCAAUCAGAGUUCACAUCUCUGUGGGACCU
This is a non-coding RNA of Protopterus annectens (West African lungfish), 72 nucleotides long. NCBI's taxonomy places the organism in Eukaryota, Metazoa, Chordata, Ceratodontiformes, Protopteridae. The record is from the annotation of a RefSeq genome assembly.